UUCGGGAUGCCGGCGAGUGGCGAACGGGUGAGUAAUACGUGGAAACCUAUCCCGAGGUGGGGGAUAACAGCUGGAAACGGCUGCUAAUACCGCAUAAGCCCUAAGGGGGAAAGAUUUAUCGCCUUGGGAGGGGCCCACGUCGGAUUAGCUAGUUGGUAGGGUAAAGGCCUACCAAGGCGACGAUCCGUAGCUGGUCUGAGAGGAUGGACAGCCACACUGGGACUGAGACACGGCCCAGACUCCUACGGGAGGCAGCAGUGGGGAAUAUUGCGCAAUGGGGGAAACCCUGACGCAGCGAUGCCGCGUGGGUGAAGAAGGCCUUCGGGUUGUAAAGCCCUUUCAGUGGGGAAGAUAGUGACGGUACCCACAGAAGAAGCUCGGGCUAACUCCGUGCCAGCAGCCGCGGUAAUACGGAGGGGGCGAGCGUUGUUCGGAAUUACUGGGCGUAAAGGGCGCGUAGGCGGUGCAGCAAG
This 473-nucleotide ribosomal RNA is filed under the name uncultured Magnetococcus sp. Its description in RNAcentral is "bacterial SSU rRNA". It matches the Rfam family "Bacterial small subunit ribosomal RNA", at positions 79 to 587 of the family's 1533-position model. The record is from RNAcentral. Lineage: Bacteria; Pseudomonadati; Pseudomonadota; Magnetococcia; Magnetococcales; Magnetococcaceae.